CUUGUAGGUAGUAAUAGUGGUGACGACGAUGAUUACGAUGACGUUAUCACGGAGAAGGAGGAGGAUGUGAUGAUCUGCAAAUAGAAUCGCGAAUUACAACUGUUUCUGCUAUGUCCAUAGAAUCCUGAGGGUGAGGGGCAUGAAUCCUUGGAGUUACUGUCUAUUCCGUAUACAACUGGCUGGUG
Molecule: long non-coding RNA, 185 nt
Organism: Agrilus planipennis (emerald ash borer)
Lineage: Eukaryota; Metazoa; Arthropoda; Insecta; Coleoptera; Buprestidae
Exons: 3
Source: RefSeq, a predicted model, not a curated record